This 559-nucleotide ribosomal RNA is filed under the name Lodderomyces metapsilosis. RNAcentral's name for it is "Candida metapsilosis partial large subunit ribosomal RNA". It matches the Rfam family "Eukaryotic large subunit ribosomal RNA", at positions 56 to 632 of the family's 3401-position model. The record is from RNAcentral. Lineage: Eukaryota; Fungi; Ascomycota; Pichiomycetes; Serinales; Debaryomycetaceae.
GAAAGGAACCAACAGGGAUUGCCUUAGUAGCGGCGAGUGAAGCGGCAAAAGCUCAAAUUUGAAAUCUGGCACUUUCAGUGUCCGAGUUGUAAUUUGAAGAAGGUAUCUUUGGGUCUGGCUCUUGUCUAUGUUUCUUGGAACAGAACGUCACAGAGGGUGAGAAUCCCGUGCGAUGAGAUGACCCAGACCUAUGUAAAGUUCCUUCGAAGAGUCGAGUUGUUUGGGAAUGCAGCUCUAAGUGGGUGGUAAAUUCCAUCUAAAGCUAAAUAUUGGCGAGAGACCGAUAGCGAACAAGUACAGUGAUGGAAAGAUGAAAAGAACUUUGAAAAGAGAGUGAAAAAGUACGUGAAAUUGUUGAAAGGGAAGGGCUUGAGAUCAGACUUGGUAUUUUGUAUGUUACUCUUUCGGGGGUGGCCUCUACAGUUUACCGGGCCAGCAUCAGUUUGGGCGGUAGGAGAAUUGCAAAGAAAUGUGGCACUGCUUCGGUAGUGUGUUAUAGUCUUUGUCGAUACUGCCAGCCUAGACUGAGGACUGCGGCUUCGGCCUAGGAUGUUGGCAU